Molecule: ribosomal RNA, 271 nt
Filed under: uncultured bacterium
Lineage: Bacteria
Description: partial 16S ribosomal RNA
Rfam family: Bacterial small subunit ribosomal RNA
Source: RNAcentral
UACGUAGGGGGCGAGCGUUGUCCGGAAUUAUUGGGCGUAAAGGGCGCGUAGGCGGACCAGCAAGUCCGGGGUGAAAUCUUUCGGCUCAACCGGAAAAGUGCCUCGGAUACUGCUGGUCUUGAGGGAGGUAGGGGCAUGUGGAACUUCCGGUGGAGCGGUGAAAUGCGUUGAUAUCGGAAGGAACGCCGGUGGCGAAAGCGACGUGCUGGCCCUCUUCUGACGCUGAGGCGCGAAAGCUAGGGGAGCGAACGGGAUUAGAAACCCCUGUAGU